Erythranthe guttata (spotted monkey flower) is the source of this 779-nucleotide non-coding RNA. NCBI's taxonomy places the organism in Eukaryota, Viridiplantae, Streptophyta, Magnoliopsida, Lamiales, Phrymaceae. The record is from RefSeq and is a predicted model, not a curated record.
AGUGAAAAACUAAUUAGAUUCCGUUCCAAAAAAUAAUCAGGAAAAAUUGCAAAUUGGAAAUUCGGGAAUUGGAAUCGAUGGAAUUCGGAAGAUUUCAUCUUUUUUUAGUCACGUAAAAUACAAAAUGCACGAUAAUAUGGAUAUUAUAAGUGUAAUCUUUUGAGAUGCAUGCGUAUUUUAACAUUUAUUUCGGAAUAAAUGCUUUGAAUUCAGAAGUCAAGAAGACUCCGAGUUGCUUGCCGAGAGGAGUUGGUUUAUUUAAGGAUACAAGUUUGGUGGCCGAUGGACGAAACCUAAGUAAUUACGUAUCUCACUAUCCGUAGUUUGUUUAUCUAUAAUCACAUCCAUCUUAUGAUAUAUAUAUAGAUACAAGUUAUUUUGCUACAUUUGCAUCUCUGUUCCGGAAAUAAAUGAUUCUGCUUGUAUGUUUGAUUGUCGAUAAUGCUUCCUAAUUAGCCUUUCUAUUUCCAUUUAUGACAUGUUCGGAAUCAUGGUUCAAAAUGCACGAAGAAGCUUUCUGUAUUAAUUAGAACGCUGUCUUACUUUUGGUAAUUAAAGAUUUUAUUACUUACGCUUUACGUGAAAAUAGCAAACUCUGUCGUCUCAUAUUCGAAGGUGCUUUAUAUGCAGGUUCUAUACCGGCACCGUCAAAGAUUUCGAUCCUGUGACGAAGAAGCACACGAUUCUGUAUGAUGACGAUGAAACCGAAACAUUGAACCUCAGAAAAGAAACAUGGGAACUGUUUGUCGAGCCGAAUACACAAAAACAAGAAGCUGACG